GUGGGGAAUAUUGGACAAUGGGCGCAAGCCUGAUCCAGCCAUGCCGCGUGAGUGAUGAAGGCCUUAGGGUUGUAAAGCUCUUUCAGUGGGGACGAUAAUGACGGUACCCACAGAAGAAGCCCCGGCUAACUUCGUGCCAGCAGCCGCGGUAAUACGAAGGGGGCUAGCGUUGUUCGGAUUUACUGGGCGUAAAGCGCACGUAGGCGGAUCGUUAAGUCGGGGGUGGAAUCCUGGAGCUCAACUCCAGAACUGCCUUGGAUACUGGCGAUCUUGAAUCCGGAAGAGGUGAGUGGAACUCCUAGUGUAGAAGUGGAAUUCGUAGAUAUUAGGAAGAACACCAGUGGCGAAGGCGGCUCACUGGUCCGGUACUGACGCUGAGGUGCGAAAGCGUGGGGAGCAAACAGGAUUAGAUACCCGUGUAGUCC
Molecule: ribosomal RNA, 425 nt
Filed under: uncultured bacterium
Lineage: Bacteria
Description: partial 16S ribosomal RNA
Rfam family: Bacterial small subunit ribosomal RNA
Source: RNAcentral